This 439-nucleotide ribosomal RNA is filed under the name uncultured bacterium. Its description in RNAcentral is "partial 16S ribosomal RNA". It matches the Rfam family "Bacterial small subunit ribosomal RNA", at positions 338 to 795 of the family's 1533-position model. The record is from RNAcentral.
CCUACGGGAGGCAGCAGUGGAGGAUAUUGCACAAUGGGGGAAACCCUGAUGCAGCGACGCCGCGUGUGGGAAGACGGUCCUCUGGAUUGUAAACCACUGUCACCAGGGACGAAGAUGACGGUACCUGGGGAGGAAGCUCCGGCUAACUACGUGCCAGCAGCCGCGGUAAUACAGAGGGCGCGAGCGUUGUGCGGAAUUAAGGGGUGUAAGGGAGCGCAGGCGGGACUGAAAGUUGGGGGUCAAAUCUACAGGCUCAACCGGUAGCCGCACUCAAAACUGCAGUACUUGAGUGAAGUAGAGGCAGGCGGAAUUCCUGGUGUAGCGGUGAAAUGCGUAGAUAUUAGGAGGAACACCAGUGGCGAAGGCGGCCUGCUGGGCUUUUACUGACGCUGAGGCUCGAAGGUGUGGGGAGCAAACGGGAUUAGAUACCCCUGUAGUC